AGUGAACGCUGGCGGUAGGCCUAACACAUGCAAGUCGAACGGCAGCACAGUAAGAGCUUGCUCUUACGGGUGGCGAGUGGCGGACGGGUGAGGAAUACAUCGGAAUCUACUUUUUCGUGGGGGAUAACGUAGGGAAACUUACGCUAAUACCGCAUACGACCUACGGGUGAAAGCAGGGGAUCUUCGGACCUUGCGCGAUUGAAUGAGCCGAUGUCGGAUUAGCUAGUUGGCGGGGUAAAGGCCCACCAAGGCGACGAUCCGUAGCUGGUCUGAGAGGAUGAUCAGCCACACUGGAACGGAGAAACGGUCCAGACUCCUACGGGAGGCAGAAGUGGGGAAUAUUGGACAAUGGGCGCAAGCCUGAUCCAGCCAUACCGCGUGGGUGAAGAAGGCCUUCGGGUUGUAAAGCCCUUUUGUUGGGAAAGAAAAGCAGCAGGUUAAUACCCCGCUGUUCUGACGGUACCCAAAGAAUAAGCACCGGCUAACUUCGUG
This 492-nucleotide ribosomal RNA is filed under the name uncultured bacterium. Its description in RNAcentral is "partial 16S ribosomal RNA". It matches the Rfam family "Bacterial small subunit ribosomal RNA", at positions 29 to 507 of the family's 1533-position model. The record is from RNAcentral.